CUGCUCGCUUUGGCAGCACAUAUACUAAAAUUGGAACGAUACAGAGAAGAUUAGCAUGGCCCCUGCACACGGAUGACACACAAAUUUGUGGAGCAUUCCAUAUUUUU
This is a small nuclear RNA of Nannospalax galili (Upper Galilee mountains blind mole rat), 107 nucleotides long. NCBI's taxonomy places the organism in Eukaryota, Metazoa, Chordata, Mammalia, Rodentia, Spalacidae. The record is from Ensembl.